This 754-nucleotide ribosomal RNA is filed under the name uncultured archaeon. RNAcentral's name for it is "bacterial SSU rRNA". It matches the Rfam family "Archaeal small subunit ribosomal RNA", at positions 102 to 859 of the family's 1478-position model. The record is from RNAcentral.
AGUCAACAUGCCCAAAGGACGUGGAUAACCUCGGGAAACUGAGGAUAAACCGCGAUAGGCCAAGGUUUCUGGAAUGAGCCAUGGCCGAAAUCUAUAUGGCCUUUGGAUUGGACUGCGGCCGAUCAGGCUGUUGGUGAGGUAAUGGCCCACCAAACCUGUUACCGGUACGGGCUUUGAGAGAAGGAGCCCGGAGAUGGGCACUGAGACAAGGGCCCAGGCCCUAUGGGGCGCAGCAGGCGCGAAACCUCUGCAAUAGGCGAGAGCCUGACAGGGUUACUCUGAGUGAUGCCCGCUAAGGGUAUCUUUUGGCACCUCUAAAAAUGGUGCAGAAUAAGGGGUGGGCAAGUCUGGUGUCAGCCGCCGCGGUAAUACCAGCACCCCGAGUUGUCGGGACGAUUAUUGGGCCUAAAGCAUCCGUAGCCUGUUCUGCAAGUCCUCCGUUAAAUCCACCUGCUCAACGGAUGGGCUGCGGAGGAUACCGCAGAGCUAGGAGGCGGGAGAGGCAAACGGUACUCAGUGGGUAGGGGUAAAAUCCAUUGAUCUACUGAAGACCACCAGUGGCGAAGGCGGUUUGCCAGAACGCGCUCGACGGUGAGGGAUGAAAGCUGGGGGAGCAAACCGGAUUAGAUACCCGGGUAGUCCCAGCUGUAAACGAUGCAGACUCGGUGAUGGGUUGGCUUCGAGCCAACCCAGUGCCGCAGGGAAGCCGUUAAGUCUGCCGCCUGGGGAGUACGGUCGCAAGACUGAAACUUAA